GGGUCCGAGCGUUGUCCGGAUUUACUGGGCGUAAAGGGCACGCAGGCGGUUUUUUAAGUCAGAUGUGAAAGGUACCGGCUCAACCGGUGACAUGCAUUUGAAACUGAAAGACUUGAGUAUUGGAGAGGCAAGUGGAAUUCCUAGUGUAGCGGUGAAAUGCGUAGAUAUUAGGAGGAACACCGGUGGCGAAGGCGGCUUGCUGGACAAAUACUGACGCUGAGGUGCGAAAGCGUGGGGAGC
This 240-nucleotide ribosomal RNA is filed under the name uncultured bacterium. RNAcentral's name for it is "partial 16S ribosomal RNA". It matches the Rfam family "Bacterial small subunit ribosomal RNA", at positions 530 to 769 of the family's 1533-position model. The record is from RNAcentral.